RNAcentral lists this ribosomal RNA (513 nucleotides) under uncultured bacterium. RNAcentral describes it as "partial 16S ribosomal RNA". It matches the Rfam family "Bacterial small subunit ribosomal RNA", at positions 29 to 523 of the family's 1533-position model. The record is from RNAcentral.
AGUGAACGCUGGCGGUAGGCCUAACACAUGCAAGUCGAACGGCAGCACAGUAAAGAUUUCGGUCUUUAUGGGUGGCGAGUGGCGGACGGGUGAGUAAUGCGUAGGAAUCUGUCCUGGAGAGUAGGAUAACCCGAGGAAACUCGGGCUAAUACUGCACGAUAUCGAGAGAUCAAAGGCAGGGGACCCUUCGGGGCCUCGCGCUCUAGGAUGAGCCUACGUCGGAUUAGCUAGUUGGUGGGGUAAAGGCCUACCAAGGCGACGAUCCGUAGCUGGUCUGAGAGGAUGACCAGCCACACUGGGACUGAGACACGGCCCAGACUCCUACAGGAGGAGGCAGUGGGGAAUCUUAGACCAUGGGGGAAACCCUGAUCCAGCGAUGCCGCGUGUGUGAAGAAGGCCUUCGGGUUGUAAAGCACUUUAGUUGGGGAAGAAAAGUAAUGAGUGAAUAACUGAUUGCUCUGACGGUACCCAAAGAAUAAGCACCGGCUAACUCUGUGCCAGCCGCCGCCGUAA